GACGAACGCUGGCGGCGUGCUUAACACAUGCAAGUCGAACGGAAAGGCCCUGCUUUUGUGGGGUGCUCGAGUGGCGAACGGGUGAGUAACACGUGAGUAACCUGCCCUUGACUUUGGGAUAACUUCAGGAAACUGGGGCUAAUACCGGAUAGGAGCUCCUGCUGCAUGGUGGUGGUUGGAAAGUUUCGGCGGUUGGGGAUGGACUCGCGGCUUAUCAGCUUGUUGGUGGGGUAGUGGCUUACCAAGGCUUUGACGGGUAGCCGGCCUGAGAGGGUGACCGGCCACAUUGGGACUGAGAUACGGCCCAGACUCCUACGGGAGGCAGCAGUGGGGAAUAUUGCACAAUGGGCGGAAGACUGAUGCAGCAACGCCGCGUGCGGGAUGACGGCCUUCGGGUUGUAAACCGCUUUCGCCUGUGACGAAGCGUGAGUGACGGUAAUGGGUAAAGAAGCACCGGCUAACUACGUG
RNAcentral lists this ribosomal RNA (468 nucleotides) under uncultured bacterium. RNAcentral describes it as "partial 16S ribosomal RNA". It matches the Rfam family "Bacterial small subunit ribosomal RNA", at positions 28 to 507 of the family's 1533-position model. The record is from RNAcentral.